CCUACGGGAGGCAGCAGUGGGGAAUAUUGGACAAUGGGCGAAAGCCUGAUCCAGCCAUGCCGCGUGUGUGAAGAAGGUCUUCGGAUUGUAAAGCACUUUAAGUUGGGAGGAAGGGCAUUAACCUAAUACGUUAGUGUUUUGACGUUACCGACAGAAUAAGCACCGGCUAACUCUGUGCCAGCAGCCGCGGUAAUACAGAGGGUGCAAGCGUUAAUCGGAAUUACUGGGCGUAAAGCGCGCGUAGGUGGUUUGUUAAGUUGGAUGUGAAAUCCCCGGGCUCAACCUGGGAACUGCAUUCAAAACUGACUGACUAGAGUAUGGUAGAGGGUGGUGGAAUUUCCUGUGUAGCGGUGAAAUGCGUAGAUAUAGGAAGGAACACCAGUGGCGAAGGCGACCACCUGGACUAAUACUGACACUGAGGUGCGAAAGCGUGGGGAGCAAACAGGAUUAGAUACCCUGGUAGUCCACGCCGUAAACGAUGUCAACUAGCCGUUGGGAGCCUUGUAGCUCUUAGUGGUCGCGAGCUACGACGAUUAAGUUAGUACCGCCGUCGGGAGGUACGGGUCCGGUCCGAACGGUUAAAACGUUAAACGUUAAGUUAAGUUAGUACGGCGUUGAGACGUUGCCGACGGACGACGACGAGGGAGGAGG
RNAcentral lists this ribosomal RNA (651 nucleotides) under uncultured bacterium. Its description in RNAcentral is "bacterial SSU rRNA". The stretch from base 1 to 549 matches the Rfam family "Bacterial small subunit ribosomal RNA", at positions 338 to 873 of the family's 1533-position model. The record is from RNAcentral.